This 253-nucleotide ribosomal RNA is filed under the name uncultured bacterium. RNAcentral describes it as "partial 16S ribosomal RNA". It matches the Rfam family "Bacterial small subunit ribosomal RNA", at positions 524 to 776 of the family's 1533-position model. The record is from RNAcentral.
UACGUAGGGUGCGAGCGUUGUCCGGAAUUAUUGGGCGUAAAGAGCUUGUAGGCGGUUUGUCGCGUCUGCUGUGAAAAUCCGGGGCUCAACCCCGGACUUGCAGUGGGUACGGGCAGACUAGAGUGUGGUAGGGGAGACUGGAAUUCCUGGUGUAGCGGUGAAAUGCGCAGAUAUCAGGAGGAACACCGAUGGCGAAGGCAGGUCUCUGGGCCACUACUGACGCUGAGAAGCGAAAGCAUGGGGAGCGAACGGG